AACGAACGCUGGCGGCAGGCCUAAAACAUGCAAGUCGAACGCUCUAGCAAUAGAGAGGGGAGCACGGGUGCGUAACACGUGGGAACAUACCCUUGGGUACGGAAAAACGCAGGGAAACUUGAGCUAAUACCGUAUAAUGACUCCGGUCCAAAGAUUUAUCGCCCAGGGAUUGGCCCGCGCCUGAUUAGGUAGUUGGUGAGGUAAUGGCUCACCAAGCCUACGAUCAGUAGCUGGUCUGAGAGGAUGAUCAGACACACUGGGACUGAUACGCGGCCCAGACUCCUACGGGAGGCAGCAGUUAGGAAUAUUGUACAAUGGGGGAGACCCUGAUCCAGCCAUGCCGCGUGAGUGAUGAAGGCCUUCGGGUUGUAAAGCUCUUUUAGAUGUGACGAUGAUGACGGUAACAUCAGAAAAAGCCCCGGCUAACUUCGUGCCAGCAGCCGCCGUAA
RNAcentral lists this ribosomal RNA (449 nucleotides) under uncultured bacterium. Its description in RNAcentral is "partial 16S ribosomal RNA". It matches the Rfam family "Bacterial small subunit ribosomal RNA", at positions 29 to 523 of the family's 1533-position model. The record is from RNAcentral.